Long non-coding RNA from Canis lupus familiaris (dog), 2616 nucleotides. RefSeq lists it as uncharacterized. The record is from RefSeq and is a predicted model, not a curated record. The transcript has 3 exons. NCBI's taxonomy places the organism in Eukaryota, Metazoa, Chordata, Mammalia, Carnivora, Canidae.
UUCUUGGGGGGGGAGGGUUAAGGGGGUGGUGUUGAACAUUCACGUCACCGUGGCAACUGGCCUGCCAAAAGACACCCAGAUCGGGAGAGCCAGUUCCAAAGAGAGAGAGGGUGAGUAACCCACAUGAUGCAGUCGUCGUGGGAACCAGCUCCUUCCCACCUCACUCUUCCCCCUUCCUCUCUGCCAGCUUGAGAAGAUGGGAGCCUUCUUCCCACCCACCCCCACACCGGCUUUAACCCAGGGAAAGGACACCCCAGCCAGCAGAGGACUCUCCCAUGUCGCUCUCGUCAACCUAGCCACCAAGAGGCCAGAGGGCCAGGGGCAGAAAGGAUUACAGGGGCCCAACAGGGGUCACUCAGGACGGAGCAAAGGGUCCCAGCCCUGCCCAGAGCCCGUGUUGCCCACAUGGUCAACAACAAAGUGGCUUCCUGAGUUGGGGGCUUUGUCGUAGCCUUUUUCACGCCAGCCCCAGGUGUGAUGUCUGUGGCCCCCCUCGGGUUUGCCCGCUCGGUCUAAAGCCCCAGUCAUGCUGCCGAUAAUGGUGUUCACGGUGACUGGGCCCCAAGCCAGACACUACGCAAACGUUACCUCACUGAAGCCUCUCACAAGCUGCGGGGGCUGGCAUUAUUCUUCCCUUUUUAUCAGUGAAGGGACUUGGGCUCAGAGAGCCUCAGUAACCUUCCUAAGAUUACACAGUGAGGACCGCCUGGGUUUGGACCAGACCUGUCUGACUCCUGACUAUCGCCCAUAAGCAUUCCAUUACCCUGCUUCCUUCAAGGAGGUGAUGAGCCAGAUGCCCCCUGCACCCCCUCCACUCACCCGGUGCUUGAACUUGUUGGAGUUCUUGUUCUCCUUCUUGUUCAGGUCAAUGAAGUAAUGGGUGACCCUCUCCAGGUCACUGUUCUCCAUGGACCAGGAGAUGCGGAAGGAGUCACAGGUGAUGUUGUUGACCUCGAUGCUGUGGGGUGUGGACAGCAGCUCCAUGCUCCCCUCUGGCUUGGCUCCUGUGGGGACUGAGGGGAGAGGAAGCAUUAGCCCCUUCCUCCCCACCAGAGUUUUCUGGAAUGUCUUGCUCCCAACAUCCCUUGCAAACUGGAACCUUGGGAAGCCACUGAUUGCACCUGCCUCAUGCCAUCUGACGGGGAGAUUGCACGCAAAGAUGGAGAGAGCUGAUCCUCUGUUGCUUGACACGUUUGCAUAAUUCCUUUUACCUUUGGCAUCUAGGACAGGCCAAUAUGUGGUGAUGAUUGCCUGAGCAUCAUCUCCUGCAACCCUCACAAUAGGUAUGAAAGGACCACACCGCUGGCACUCACCUGUGCUUCAGCGAGGAAGAACAGAUUCUGCCCUUGACUGUGGCCUGGAUCACGAGCUCUGGGGAACAGGGUGGGGGAGGGACCAGGAGGGGCGGGGCUGUGUCUGGGACAAGAACAUGAACGUGGGUUGGACUUGCUCCCGGGCAUUUGCUUAAUGCCCCGUGGAGCUCAUGCUUUCCUAGUUCUUUCUCAAGCCCCGUCCCAGCACACCUCAGCUUUCUGGAAUGUUGUUUCCUUUCCUCCUGCUUCAGCUUCUUCUCCUCUCUUUGCCCAGGCGAUAAGGGUGAGGGUACCUUGUGCCUUCGAAAGCAGGUACUUCUAUUUAUAGCUUCCAGAAGAUCCAACCCACACUUGCCUGUCAGUUAAGCCUGUUGUGAGCCUGGUACCUCUAAAUUCAUCCGUGGGCUGCCUGAGUGACAGGCACAGGGGGAAGGAUAUGGGUGACAGCCUUUACCUGUUCUGGGGUGUCCCCUGAGCCCUUGCUUCACCUUGGCUUCCUAUCCUAAAGCAUGAGCCUGCCUGUUGUGAAGUUCAGCCAAAUGUCAGUGGCUUGUGCACAGAGAAUCCUACAGUAAACAAGCAUGGGGGUACUAUCUGGUCCACCCCAAAAUAAAGCAGAAUAGGAUGGGGAAACAACUGUAUGAUAAUAAACCAGUUUACAAUUCACGGGGACAGAUGUGGAGACUUUGGGAGUUGCCAUCCUCUGGGCUCCCAGUGAGGAGCUCCCCAGGGAGACACACGCAUGCACCCACAUGCACAUACACACAUGCACCGACAUGACACACCAACAUAGACACACUCCCACCCUAGAGAGAGCCUGAGUGAUCACCUCCCACCCACACGGGAUUCAGUCGAUGCCUACCCCACAGCGGGGUACCUAUUCCUGCCUCAGUAUUCCUCUCCUUAGAGUCUCCCCCAGAGACAGGGGUAGCCAUGUUUGGGGGGGGUCCAGGACCUGGUUCAUCCUUUCCUUUCUACAGUUCUAGAAGAGCUGAGGUUACUCCCCGGUGCUCGCUUGGGAGAGUGGUCUUGAGUGACACUUUGGAGAACAGCAAAGCCAGAGUGGGCUGAGGGUGGGUGUGAGCCCCAGUUCUCUAAGGCCAGGUGAGUGGGGAAGGUGAGGGUGUGAGGGACAGGUUGAGACAGCACCUGAGAAACACCCACACUGCCAAGACAAGCAUUUACACACCCACACUCAGGCAGGCACAUGAGUGCACACGCAUACACACAUGCACCGAAUGUGCCCACCCGCACCUGCCACGCAGGGCUGCACAUACCUUCUCAGACAUUCUCGGUCCCAUGC